This is a non-coding RNA of Notechis scutatus (mainland tiger snake), 323 nucleotides long. NCBI's taxonomy places the organism in Eukaryota, Metazoa, Chordata, Lepidosauria, Squamata, Elapidae. The record is from RefSeq and is a predicted model, not a curated record.
UGAGGAAUUUGUAAACUGAAAUUGAUACCAUAUUUUAAAAUAAAAUAAAUGUUGUAUUUUUUAAAUAGCAAACAAGAUUGAAUGAUUUACAUUCUCUGAAUUUAGACACCUGGAUUUGGUCAGGAAAAAUCGCUACAAAUGGAGAAAAACCAAGAGACAGAUCAUGGCACACGUUGACUCCUGUGGCAGAUGGGAAACUUUUCCUGUUUGGUGGGCUGAGUUCAGACAAUGUACCCCUAAGUGAUGGUUGGAUUUAUGAUGUUGCAACAAAUGAAUGGCAACAACUUACAUAUUUACCACAGACUAGACCUAGGUAUAAUAUG